UUACUGAGUUUACCUGCGCGAGCGCGUUUCCGCUGUAGCUUGCUUGCGACGCGAGCCGCCGCAACAAGUAUAUAUCCGACACUCAAGCUAUUGACACUACUAUAUUUCGAGUCCGUAGCCACUACGUGUUUCACACGUAUCGAUGUAUGUUCCCUUUUCCUGAAGUGCGAGGAAGUCAGCGACAAGCAGUUCAGGAAGCAAAGUAUUAAUAACUAGGAAUGCCAGUUCAUGUCAAGGAGGGCACAACAUAUAUAAGCACUGCUUAUCUCUAUCUCUUUGUACUCGCGCCUUUCGGGUCACCUCUCACCAAGAGCAAAUGCGUGACCGAUCGGUAUUUGAGUAGAAUAAGUUUAUUUGUAAAUCUUGUCCGUUAGCGGACUAAUAGUUUCGGCGUAAGUUUCGCAAAUUGCUACUCUAUUUGUUCAAUUCAAUAAAGUAAAUAAAGGCUUCAUGCCACUACAUAUUGUUAACAUAAAAUAAA
Long non-coding RNA from Nasonia vitripennis (jewel wasp), 481 nucleotides. RefSeq lists it as uncharacterized. The transcript has 2 exons. The record is from RefSeq and is a predicted model, not a curated record. Lineage: Eukaryota; Metazoa; Arthropoda; Insecta; Hymenoptera; Pteromalidae.